RNAcentral lists this ribosomal RNA (230 nucleotides) under uncultured bacterium. RNAcentral describes it as "partial 16S ribosomal RNA". It matches the Rfam family "Bacterial small subunit ribosomal RNA", at positions 562 to 791 of the family's 1533-position model. The record is from RNAcentral.
AAAGCGUGCGCAGGCGGUUCGGAAAGAAGGAUGUGAAAUCCCAGGGCUUAACCUUGGAACUGCAUUCUUAACUACCGGGCUAGAGUAUGUCAGAGGGGGGUGGAAUUCCGCGUGUAGCAGUGAAAUGCGUAGAUAUGCGGAGGAACACCGAUGGCGAAGGCAGCCCCCUGGGAUAAUACUGACGCUCAUGCACGAAAGCGUGGGGAGCAAACAGGAUUAGAUACCCCUGU